AGAGGUUUGGUGUAAUGGUAACACAGUGCUCUCCAAAAGCACCUAUGAGGGUUCAAAUCCUUCAACCUCUGCCA
This 74-nucleotide transfer RNA is filed under the name Bacillota bacterium. RNAcentral describes it as "tRNA-Trp". It matches the Rfam family "tRNA". From Rfam's summary of the family: Transfer RNA (tRNA) molecules are approximately 80 nucleotides in length. Their secondary structure includes four short double-helical elements and three loops (D, anti-codon, and T loops). Further hydrogen bonds mediate the characteristic L-shaped molecular structure. tRNAs have two regions of fundamental functional importance: the anti-codon, which is responsible for specific mRNA codon recognition, and the 3' end, to which the tRNAs corresponding amino acid is attached (by aminoacyl-tRNA synthetases). tRNAs cope with the degeneracy of the genetic code in two manners: having more than one tRNA (with a specific anti-codon) for a particular amino acid; and 'wobble' base-pairing, i.e. permitting non-standard base-pairing at the 3rd anti-codon position. The record is from RNAcentral. Lineage: Bacteria; Bacillati; Bacillota.